This 406-nucleotide ribosomal RNA is filed under the name uncultured bacterium. Its description in RNAcentral is "partial 16S ribosomal RNA". It matches the Rfam family "Bacterial small subunit ribosomal RNA", at positions 30 to 526 of the family's 1533-position model. The record is from RNAcentral.
AUUGAACGCUGGCGGCAGGCCUAACACAUGCAAGUCGAACGAGUGGCGGACGGGUGAGUAAUGUCUGGGAAACUGCCUGAUGGAGGGGGAUAACUACUGGAACCGGUAGCUAAUCCCGCAUACCAUCGGAUGUGCCCAGAUGGGAUUAGCUCGUAGGUGGGGUAAAGGCUCACCUAGGCGACGAUCCCUAGCUGGUCUGAGAGGAUGACAAGCCACACGGGAACUGAGAGAAGGUCCAGACUCCUACGUGAGGCAGCAGUGGGGAAUAUUGCACAAUGGGCGAAAGCCUGAUGCAGCAAGGCCGCGUGUAGGAAGAAGGCCUUCGGGUUGUAAAGUACUUUCAGCGGGGAGGCGUUACCCGAAGAAGAAGCACCGGCUAACUCCGUGCCAGCAGCCGCGGUAAUUC